CUUCAUGAAGUCGGAAUUGCUAGUAAUGGCAGGUCAGCAUACUGCCGUGAAUACGUUCCCGGGCCUUGUACACACCGCCCCGUCACACCAUGAGAGUUGGAGAUACCCGAAGUCUAUGAGCUAACUUUUAGAGGCAGUAGUCGAAGGUAGAAUCAAUGAUUGGGGUGAAGUCGUAACAAGGUAGC
Molecule: ribosomal RNA, 185 nt
Filed under: uncultured bacterium
Lineage: Bacteria
Description: partial 16S ribosomal RNA
Rfam family: Bacterial small subunit ribosomal RNA
Source: RNAcentral